UACGGGGGGAGCAAGCGUUGUUCGGAUUUACUGGGCGUAAAGGGCGCGUAGGCGGCCACCGCAAGUCGACUGUGAAAUCUCCGGGCUUAACCCGGAAAGGUCAGCCGAUACUGCGGGGCUAGAGUGCAGAAGGGGCAACUGGAAUUCUCGGUGCAGCGGUGAAAUGCGUAGAUAUCGGGAGGAACACCUGAGGCGAAGGCGGGCUACUGGGCCGAUACUGACGCUGAUGCGCGAAAGCCAGGGGAGCGAACGGG
RNAcentral lists this ribosomal RNA (254 nucleotides) under uncultured bacterium. RNAcentral's name for it is "partial 16S ribosomal RNA". It matches the Rfam family "Bacterial small subunit ribosomal RNA", at positions 524 to 776 of the family's 1533-position model. The record is from RNAcentral.